Molecule: ribosomal RNA, 1556 nt
Filed under: Salmonella enterica subsp. enterica serovar Infantis
Lineage: Bacteria; Pseudomonadati; Pseudomonadota; Gammaproteobacteria; Enterobacterales; Enterobacteriaceae
Description: bacterial SSU rRNA
Rfam family: Bacterial small subunit ribosomal RNA
Source: RNAcentral
UUAAAUUGAAGAGUUUGAUCAUGGCUCAGAUUGAACGCUGGCGGCAGGCCUAACACAUGCAAGUCGAACGGUAACAGGAAGCAGCUUGCUGCUUUGCUGACGAGUGGCGGACGGGUGAGUAAUGUCUGGGAAACUGCCUGAUGGAGGGGGAUAACUACUGGAAACGGUGGCUAAUACCGCAUAACGUCGCAAGACCAAAGAGGGGGACCUUCGGGCCUCUUGCCAUCAGAUGUGCCCAGAUGGGAUUAGCUAGUUGGUGAGGUAACGGCUCACCAAGGCGACGAUCCCUAGCUGGUCUGAGAGGAUGACCAGCCACACUGGAACUGAGACACGGUCCAGACUCCUACGGGAGGCAGCAGUGGGGAAUAUUGCACAAUGGGCGCAAGCCUGAUGCAGCCAUGCCGCGUGUAUGAAGAAGGCCUUCGGGUUGUAAAGUACUUUCAGCGGGGAGGAAGGUGUUGUGGUUAAUAACCGCAGCAAUUGACGUUACCCGCAGAAGAAGCACCGGCUAACUCCGUGCCAGCAGCCGCGGUAAUACGGAGGGUGCAAGCGUUAAUCGGAAUUACUGGGCGUAAAGCGCACGCAGGCGGUCUGUCAAGUCGGAUGUGAAAUCCCCGGGCUCAACCUGGGAACUGCAUUCGAAACUGGCAGGCUUGAGUCUUGUAGAGGGGGGUAGAAUUCCAGGUGUAGCGGUGAAAUGCGUAGAGAUCUGGAGGAAUACCGGUGGCGAAGGCGGCCCCCUGGACAAAGACUGACGCUCAGGUGCGAAAGCGUGGGGAGCAAACAGGAUUAGAUACCCUGGUAGUCCACGCCGUAAACGAUGUCUACUUGGAGGUUGUGCCCUUGAGGCGUGGCUUCCGGAGCUAACGCGUUAAGUAGACCGCCUGGGGAGUACGGCCGCAAGGUUAAAACUCAAAUGAAUUGACGGGGGCCCGCACAAGCGGUGGAGCAUGUGGUUUAAUUCGAUGCAACGCGAAGAACCUUACCUGGUCUUGACAUCCACAGAAGAAUCCAGAGAUGGAUUUGUGCCUUCGGGAACUGUGAGACAGGUGCUGCAUGGCUGUCGUCAGCUCGUGUUGUGAAAUGUUGGGUUAAGUCCCGCAACGAGCGCAACCCUUAUCCUUUGUUGCCAGCGGUUAGGCCGGGAACUCAAAGGAGACUGCCAGUGAUAAACUGGAGGAAGGUGGGGAUGACGUCAAGUCAUCAUGGCCCUUACGACCAGGGCUACACACGUGCUACAAUGGCGCAUACAAAGAGAAGCGACCUCGCGAGAGCAAGCGGACCUCAUAAAGUGCGUCGUAGUCCGGAUUGGAGUCUGCAACUCGACUCCAUGAAGUCGGAAUCGCUAGUAAUCGUGGAUCAGAAUGCCACGGUGAAUACGUUCCCGGGCCUUGUACACACCGCCCGUCACACCAUGGGAGUGGGUUGCAAAAGAAGUAGGUAGCUUAACCUUCGGGAGGGCGCUUACCACUUUGUGAUUCAUGACUGGGGUGAAGUCGUAACAAGGUAACCGUAGGGGAACCUGCGGUUGGAUCACCUCCUUACCUGAAAGAAGC